UCAAUUCCCCUUUCCCACAAAAUAAAACCGUUUCCCUUUCCCCCAAUUCCCUUUACUCACGGCGGCCUAACUUCUCCCUCCCUCACCUUUUCUUAUUUUUUCUUUCUUUUGUGCUUGAAUUUUAUGUGUGCUAGUUACUUUUUUUUAUUUACUUUUUUUUUUUGUAGGUUUUUACAAAGUGGAGUUCCCGAAAGAGAUUAAUUGAAUAAUAUGGUUGCUGCAUUGAAUCAUAUAUUUUUUUGUGGAUGCGAAAGGUAAUCUUCAAUUCUAUUUUCCAUGUUAAGGACUAUGUAAUAAUUUGAUUCUUGUGUGGUUGAAAAAAUAGAGAUCUUGUUUUCAUCUUCAAUAUGCAAAAAUUAGAGUCAAGCAGAGAAGUUUGCUGAGGAGGGAGUCGUCAUAGAGAUUCCAGUUGCUGCUUUGUAUGAAGGCUCGCCAAGUGACUAUCAAAUAAUCUGUAUUCUUGUAGUCACUAGUCAACAUUAGAAUUUAAUUGUAGUUAGCAUUCUUAGCAUGAUGGGAGAAACUUUUGUAUUUCUUGAGAACCAUUUAGUAAUGGUGGUGUUAUAAUAUUUAUAAAAAUGUAGUGUGUUGAAGUGACUCUUUUAUUUUAAUUUAGAAUUGUUUUGGAGUGUA
This is a long non-coding RNA of Lycium barbarum (goji berry), 633 nucleotides long. RefSeq lists it as uncharacterized. The record is from RefSeq and is a predicted model, not a curated record. The transcript is spliced from 3 exons. NCBI's taxonomy places the organism in Eukaryota, Viridiplantae, Streptophyta, Magnoliopsida, Solanales, Solanaceae.